AGAUGUGAGGGGUAUCUGGCUGUGACAUCUGUUACCCUAUCAUCACCAAGGCUGAUUUGUCUGAUUUGGCUAGCUAGACAUGUGUCCCCUUCUAUCCUCACUACUCUAUAUGUCUCUGUCAAAACUGUGUGCUUGGUCAAAGACAAUGACUUCCAUUAGAGGCAGGACCAUCUUCAGUCAUUGAAGAACCUGCUAGAACUUCCUAAUAAGCACAUUAGAGGUGGAACCAUCUUUGGUAAUUGAAGAACCUGCUAGACCCCCCUCACAAGCACAUUUGUCCUUGGGAAACAGUUUUU
This 296-nucleotide small nuclear RNA is filed under the name Meriones unguiculatus (Mongolian gerbil). Its description in RNAcentral is "7SK RNA (ENSMUGG00000003776.1)". It matches the Rfam family "7SK RNA". Rfam says of the family: 7SK was discovered as an abundant small nuclear RNA in the mid-70s but a possible function has only recently been suggested. Two independent studies have found that 7SK RNA binds the CDK9/cyclin T complex (known as elongation factor P-TEFb). The record is from RNAcentral. Lineage: Eukaryota; Metazoa; Chordata; Mammalia; Rodentia; Muridae.